Molecule: long non-coding RNA, 1252 nt
Organism: Bombus terrestris (buff-tailed bumblebee)
Lineage: Eukaryota; Metazoa; Arthropoda; Insecta; Hymenoptera; Apidae
Exons: 3
Source: RefSeq, a predicted model, not a curated record
GUUAUUCACAUCACGAAGACAUCUCCCUGUUUCCCGUGUUCUAUAACGUUUUGAAGCAAUCGUAUAGCUCACUUCAGAAGCGACGUUCAUUGUUUUCUCUGUAUUAUGCUUCACUGUCUCAACGCGUUUUGAAUUCUUCCAUACAAUUCAAACUCAAUAUAUGUACUUUUUUCAAAUGUACUGCUUAAAACAAUGAUCCAUCCACUAUUGAACUCGAAAACGCCAUCUACAUCAGUACAUUGUAAAGCGGAUAAUGUCACGAGGUAUUUAAGGCGACAGGCUCCCACGAGUUACCGUCGGCGUCAUCGACCAUCAUGAUCCCCGUGUUUAGUCUCUGGCUCCAUUUCCUUCUCCCUUUCGGCCACUUUCCUUCUUGUCCCUCCUCGCCUCCAGCCACUCCCUUAUUCGCUUUCAAGUACUCUUCUCUUCUUUUGUUUCUCUUCCCCUUUUCUUCUCGCUCCACUUGUAUUUUUUCCUUCUCUUUUGCAUUGUUUUAGUAUUGAAUAUUUAAUCGUUUAAUGUCUCUUAAUUUCUACUUCAAAUAUUUUGGAUAUUUUUUUAUAUUCUAGUCUCGAAACUUUCCAUAAGUGCACAAAAAAUUGCAGUGUAAUAAUUAUUAUGGAAGUCACAGCAAUAAGUCUUAACAAACAAUAUUUUUUAAAAAAGAUCAGCUGUAAAAAAAUGUCUGUUCACCAUAUUUUUCGUUCUUUGAACAAAUGUUUCUUGCUCUGCCCAUUUCUUCCUACUCCUUAAUCUAUUUAUGACCGAUUUCAAUUCCUCCUCUCUCUUCAUCUUUAACCUCCAAUAUAUCUGCCCCCUUCUGGAAUCGUGUUCCCUAUGAAAGAAGAAGAAUGGAAAGCUGUGACGCGAUUUACGACCCUGUUUACAGCUUCCGGAAGGAGCAUAUCGACCUCACGCACGCACUAGAUGACGAAAAAUGGACGCAAAUUGGGGUCAGGAGGAGUGGCAUCACAUGUCCAAGGUGUGCAUCAGGUAACCAUGAGCGCGUUUAUCGUUCUUUAAAAGAGAUUCGAGCGUCGUGUGGACACUAGCAGAGAUGAAAUCAACCGAGGGAGGGGUUUCCUCACCCAAGGUGAUCCGGUAUAAAAGCGAGAGGCCAUCAAGAGCGAGAAGACCACCUGACGAAUCCUCACGCAUAAAAAGAAACAGGAUAAAAAGUCAAACUUUAUUGAUCAGAAAAAAGACAAUUAGCGUCGGGUCAAGACUAUAUUUAAUAUGAUAUAAAGCUUUC